RNAcentral lists this ribosomal RNA (253 nucleotides) under uncultured bacterium. RNAcentral describes it as "partial 16S ribosomal RNA". It matches the Rfam family "Bacterial small subunit ribosomal RNA", at positions 524 to 776 of the family's 1533-position model. The record is from RNAcentral.
UACAGAGGUCUCAAGCGUUGUUCGGAUUCAUUGGGCGUAAAGGGUGCGUAGGCGGCCCGGUAAGUCCGCUGUAAAAGUCCAGGGCUCAACCCUGGAAAGCCGGUGGAUACUGUCGGGCUAGAGUCCGGAAGAGGCGAGUGGAAUUCCUGGUGUAGCGGUGGAAUGCGCAGAUAUCAGGAGGAACACCAAUAGCGAAGGCAGCUCGCUGGGACGGUACUGACGCUGAGGCGCGAAAGCGUGGGGAGCGAACAGG